Molecule: long non-coding RNA, 1720 nt
Organism: Biomphalaria glabrata
Lineage: Eukaryota; Metazoa; Mollusca; Gastropoda; Planorbidae
Exons: 3
Source: RefSeq, a predicted model, not a curated record
CAUAAAAUAAAAAUGAGAAAACUAAAAGCAUGAAAAAACAUUUAAUGACAUGACUGAUCCUAACUAAUUUAAACAAUUACGCUUAAGCUUUUUUUUAAAUGGAUGUUAUCAGGAAUCCACUAAACCAGCUUUUAUGAAACGUCAUAACUGAAUGUACCCGUUAGAGAAGCCUACUUAUUGAUCAUCCCAUUAUAUCAGUCCCUUACGUGUUAAUGGGUUUUCCCAUAAUUCAGUCACCGUUUUCAGUAGUAUUAAAGAAAUUCGGUGUAUUUUUUUGUGAAAUUAAAAAUCAGAAGCAGUGUUUUGUUUGGCGUUCGGUCAUUCUACAAAAAGUGAGGCGUCAUAAAGAUAAUGGCUUAUUUAGGACUUCUGUGCACUGGAACUGUCGCGGUUAACUGCAAUUGGCGUGAGUUAGCGGCCGCAGCUUUGAUAGCGGGAAUGGUGAAUGCGACAGUGAUUGGCACUGUAGUUUUUGGAUACAUCGCCAUUAAAGUGUGUGUCAUUGUCGUUGGAGCCAUAGCCGGGGCAAACAAAUAAUCAAGAAAUUGUUAAGGGGCAGUUCAUAAAUGUAUAUACAAUUUAUGUCAUCUACACAUCUGGUAUCAUGGAAUAGAGACAAUAAAAUGAUGAGGCACAUCUCAUGAGUAUUUAGAAGAGAAAAAAAAAGUGUUUAGCCCAAUAGAGAAAGGUCAUUUAUAAUAUUAAUACUUAAUACUUAAUAAAAUUAAUGUUCAGAGUUGUAACUGUGUAAGGCACUAAAUUCUUUCUAUUACAUAAAAAACAGAUAAUGCAUUAUGAGAGAGAGAGAGAGAGAGAGAGAGAGAAAGAGAGAGAGAAGUGAAAGAUAUAUAUGGCUAUGAAAAUAUUUUAUAUAAUCUUAUCUUUGAUAUUAUUAGUUUUAGUUUUAACUUUCAUUUUUUUUUUAUAAAUGUUAUUUUAUAAAAGUUAAAUAACUGUUUUUUUUUUUUUUGUUAUUUAGAAAUUUCUAAUAAGAAUAUGCUUACGGGAUUUCAAGUAAUAAGGUGCUUAAGUUGUAGAUGUAGACUGCUUAUUCAAUCUAACCUGUAUUGAAAAUCGUAUUUAUAGUAUAUAUCAACAUAAUAAUAAUAUAAUAAAUAAAGGUAUUAGACUGUAAAUUGUAAACCACCUUUUUCAGUUACUUUACAUCUGAUUUUGAGACUAUAUGCCUUGAUUUCAUUUAUGGGAUGAUAUUUGUUUUUACAUGAACGUAUGAAUAUAUAUAGUUUUGUACAUUUAAUACGUUAAUUCGUAGAGCUAUAUAUAUAGACUGGACCAAAUUAUACAUUAUUCAAGCACAAAGCUUUUUAUUAUACAUCAAUUACCAGCAGUAUAAAAAUAGCCAUAGCCUUUAAUGAUAUAAGUGCAUUAAUUGAUACACUUUUUUCUGUAUUGUGAAUCAAAGUGUUGCUGUUAUGGCAGGCCAUUAUGAUCAUUUUUGUUUAAAAUUUUAUUUUUCUAAGUUUAGCUUAUUUGGACGUUCUGAUGAAAACAAGUCUAAAAAACAAAUUGUAUUAAUUUAAAGCGAUGAAACAUCGGCCAUCGAUCUAAAUGUAGAUCGAGUGCAAAAAUAUAAUUUCAAAAUUGAAGAUCAUAUUUUUUGUACGCAUUAAAAUGUGUUUUUCAGCAAACGAGAACUCUUCCUGUUGUCCAGUCUAUUUAUUUCUUUGCCUAUAAAUAAAACAUUUUAUAAAAUGUAAAA